This 1961-nucleotide long non-coding RNA is filed under the name Helianthus annuus (common sunflower). Lineage: Eukaryota; Viridiplantae; Streptophyta; Magnoliopsida; Asterales; Asteraceae. The record is from RNAcentral.
AAAGAUUUUUGUCUCAAAGAUUUGAAACAAAAAAUCCAUACAAGAUCUCUAGAGAUCUCACCUAAAUCUCUAUAUAAAACACCCUCCAUCUUCUCCAAAUUAAAUCACAAACACACAGAACUCUUUACACUCAAAAUAUACACACAGAUAUUACUCUCCUCUCUCCCUUUGUCUGCAUAUCAAUUUACACACACACAAAACACAACACUGAGAUUUUUUUUACUCUCAUCUUCCCCAUAAUCUAUACUAUAACAAAUACCCACACAAAAUCAAACACCCACCCCCGCAUCCCUCGGUUCCCUCUUUCCAGGCGACACCCACCUUCUCCUCUUGACAACAAAACGGACCACCACCACCGUCCGGUGGUGGUGAGCGACAGCUGCAGAAACGGAGCGGGAGAGAGAGAGGCAAUGAAAGAGACAGAAGCGAGAGAGACGACGAGAUUGAUAGAUCGAGAGGAGAAAGAGAGUGACGGCGGAGAAGAAGCGGCGCCGCCGCUCAUGGCGGCGGCGGCAGUGGCGGUGGUUCGGGUCUCGGUCUGACGAAUUUCCGGCCAAAUUUGGGAAGACUUGCGAGUCUCGGCUCACCCACAGGUUGGUUCGGAUCGGACCUGGUCAAGUCUUGGAUGGUCAACAACAGUCAAAGUUUGGUCAACCGCUCGGGUCAACAGUGGGCAAGUUUGUUUUGGGUCAAGCAUGGAUCGGACGAGUCAGAUUCGCUCGUUUAACUCAGCGAGUCGACUCGGUCAAACCCGAGUCAACUCGGUCAGCACAGUCAAACCGAGUCAACUCAGUUGACCCGGUCAACUCAGUCUGCGGUUCGACGCGAGAGAUUUGGUAAAAAUUGACGACGUGUUUAAUAUUUACGUUAUAUUUUUUGUUUUAAUACUUACGUGACUAACGAGCUCAAACCCAUUUCGGAACAGUAUUUAGAAUAUUGUAGAAUGCACGCUAGCGAGUCUCGUCUUGGAAACGACAUCACGAAGUCGUAUAUAGCUUGCUUUGCACAUGAAUAUUCAGGUUGCUUUUCAUAGUUAUGGCAUGGUUGGAAUAGGAGAACCAUGUGGAGUCGAAUACUUAGUGGCGUUCAUUUUCUAAAAGACUUAACUUUUUUGCUUCCACUGUGCAAUGAAGAUACCAGUCCAGUCACGCCAAUGCUCUGAUAAUUUAGGGGUGUGACAGAUUGGUAUCAGAGCUAUAGGUUACAACGAAUAAGGUUUUCUGUAGGAUUACCUAGGCUCUAACCUCACUUUUCUCUGGGACUUAGACUAUUAAGACGUUGAAUACAUACAGAACGCAUAGUACUUGAAUAUGGUCUCCAACCGUUGCCGAAAAACAAACAGUCAAAGUUUUGUUUUCAAACAUACGCUAUUGUGGUGUUUUAUACAUGGUACACAAAAACAGUCGCAUACAGUACACAAAACUCUGAGAGUUUAGGAAAUAUGCAUUUAAGACCUUCGAAAACCAAUGUUGAAAUUCAUUAAAGGUCAUCACGUAGGAACCACGUUUAUUAACUUGGGAAAACGCCAUUAUUGUGUCAUCUAUGCUAUUUUUAACCAAGCAGGUAACCUACGCAAAACAAAGCACGGGCGUGCAAGAUUUCACGAAACUCAAUCUACAUGACGACAGAGAUUGAAGUACGUUACAUACGACUUUCGAGGAAGCGGCAGUUUGGCACGCGGUCCUGCAAACGACACGAGUCAUGCUAAGGAGAAGACGUAUGUCUCCGCAUUCCCCCUAACUCAAUAACGACGAAUACGUUAUGUCCGACAUUUCAUGGUAAAGUCACCCAACAACUGAUUAUCACAUGAAACCCCAGGUAAAGUCCUUGAAUUUCUUUAUUGAAAUUCCGACUUUUGCAUCUAGUGAGUAGAUUUUCGCAUCUCUACUCCUUUUAAUGGUCAUUGUAUCACGAUCAUUCUUUCAUUAUAGCGAAUAUUCAAUUGCUUCAUUCAUAUGUUA